RNAcentral lists this long non-coding RNA (1478 nucleotides) under Carica papaya (papaya). RNAcentral's name for it is "long non-coding RNA (CPAP_LNC002714)". Lineage: Eukaryota; Viridiplantae; Streptophyta; Magnoliopsida; Brassicales; Caricaceae. The record is from RNAcentral.
AUGUCCAUCUCUACCUCCUUUUAAAGAGUCGACUCACACCACCUCAAUCAACGCACAUGGCUACUCACCAUUAAACCCUUUUAUACUACUUAUACCUUUCUGCUUUGUUUAGCCCCCAAUAUACAUUUCUCUCUCUCUCUCCCAAUCUCUCUCUUGUCUAGUAUUUGAAUUCAAUAAUAUGUCGUCGAUUUCAUCAGAGAAGGGUGAAAGAGUUGCUGCAGAUAAGAAUUCAAGCGAAAAUAGAAUUGAAUGGUUCAAUAUCACUGUUCGAGUGCGAAAUUUCAUCGGGGUAGGUUCUAGAUCAUACAGAUAUGUGACGGUUUCAAUGAUUUUUUUUUUGAGAAUUUAUUAAAACUAUCAAUCUUGAAACAGAAAAUAAUGAAGGAGUUUAGAGAGAAGGUGAAAGAAGAAGAGAAGGAGAAGGAAGCCCGUCAAGUCGCAAAGGCCGAACAAUUAGCUGCAGAAGGAAUAAAUAUUGCGGCAGAGGCUGAACCAGCAGUCCCUAUUUCUUUCAAAAGACCAAAUGAAGAAGAUAUCCACCCUUUUGAUUAUACUCAAAUGGUACUUCCAUGAUCUUUAUCUCUAUAUUUGCAUGUUUAUAUAUGAAUGCAAUUUUACAUACUGGUUUUUUAGAUCAUAGUGUAGUCAGUGUCAAUUAAUUUGUAGGGGAACCAGAAAGGACGCAAAAGACAAACUAAAUGUCCAGUAGCUGGAACAACUACAGUCUCAUUUACACUUCCUGAGGAUCUCCUAACUAUGGCUGAUAAUAUUGAUCUUGUUAGUAAACUUUUCUAUCACUUAAAUCUCUAAGAUUUUCUUUUAGGCCAAAUGGGUUUUGUUACAAAACUCUUUAAUGGUUAAUUUUCUUACCGACAGUACACUCCAGAGCAUCUUCGACCCAAUACAAAUCUCAGAUACACAAUUCAGCAAAGAAUCAAAGGCUGGACGGUUGAGAAACGACAACGGGAUACUAAAAUAUGUGAUACAGUAAGUCCCUUUUAGUUUCUUCAACGUAAGAAAUUAUGUUUUUAGAGUACUAUCUUCAUAUGGAAAUAGAAAAGGAAAACUGAUAAUAUUUAUAUUCAUCUGGGACUGCAGUACUAUAUUCAUAGGGAAUCUAUGGGGUUCUUUCGAUCUGUUGUCGAGGUUACAGAUUUCAUACUUUAUGAAAUCUAUCCAAAGAAACCCACUCCAAAGUCAAGGAAGAAGAAUGCAGAAGAAGAGAGUAGUUCUGUAGUGCCACCGGGAGAAAGUACUACUCAAAUGCAGAAAAAGGUGAGAAGACCAAGGAAAAAUAAGGAGGAUGGGGAACAAGGGAGAACCCCAGUUAAGAGGAAGGUUGGCAGGGCAAGAAAGGUAGCGGAUGGAGAAGAAAGGACUUCUUCUGUAUGUUGGUUUUGAGGAUACACACACGCACACACACACACAUAAUGCACUUGGUUAGAAAUAGUUCAUGAAUGUGUACAGUGUUGUGUAAU